Molecule: ribosomal RNA, 344 nt
Filed under: uncultured bacterium
Lineage: Bacteria
Description: bacterial SSU rRNA
Rfam family: Bacterial small subunit ribosomal RNA
Source: RNAcentral
AGUGAACGCUGGCGGCAGGCCUAACACAUGCAAGUCGAGCGGCAGCGGGUUCCCGCGAGGGGAUGCCGGCGAGCGGCGGACGGGUGAGGAACACAUCGGAAUCUGCCUGGUUGUGGGGGAUAACGUAGGGAAACUUACGCUAAUACCGCAUGCGACCCUGAGUCGACGGACUUGGGGUGAAAGUGAGGGACCUUCGGGCCGUCACGCGACCAGAUGAGCCGAUGUCGGAUUAGCUAGUUGGCGGGGUAACGGCCCGCCAAGGCGACGAUCCGUAGCUGGUCUGAGAGGAUGAUCAGCCACACUGGGACUGAGACACGGCCCAGACUCCUACGGGAGGCAGCAGU